ACAACCCAAGAUUACAACUAUGCCAUGGUGAAAUUGUCAUAAGCUGUGGGAAUUAUUCUGAAAUUCAAAAUAGUACAAGCAAUGUCCUAAUGAAUACAACAAAGCAUACAUGCUGUGGGAACAAGGUUUAUUCCCCCUUGAAACAAACUUGUCUGAAUGGUGUAAUUAAAAAUGCAAAUGGAAGAACAAUUACCCUGGACUUUUUCCUAAAGAGAAUCCUGAAAUCUAAGAGAAAAAAUCUGUUUUUCGUGUACAUUAAUAAUGUAAA
Molecule: long non-coding RNA, 268 nt
Organism: Saccostrea echinata
Lineage: Eukaryota; Metazoa; Mollusca; Bivalvia; Ostreida; Ostreidae
Exons: 3
Source: RefSeq, a predicted model, not a curated record